GAAGGUAUAGCUCAGUGGUAGAGUGCAUGCUUAGCAUGCAGGAGAUCCUGGGCUCAAUCCCCAGUACCUCCA
RNAcentral lists this transfer RNA (72 nucleotides) under Camelus bactrianus (Bactrian camel). It matches the Rfam family "tRNA". Rfam says of the family: Transfer RNA (tRNA) molecules are approximately 80 nucleotides in length. Their secondary structure includes four short double-helical elements and three loops (D, anti-codon, and T loops). Lineage: Eukaryota; Metazoa; Chordata; Mammalia; Artiodactyla; Camelidae. The record is from Rfam by way of RNAcentral. RNAcentral also lists the same sequence under 1 other name.